Non-coding RNA from Pimephales promelas (fathead minnow), 1389 nucleotides. Lineage: Eukaryota; Metazoa; Chordata; Actinopteri; Cypriniformes; Leuciscidae. The record is from RefSeq and is a predicted model, not a curated record.
CCACGGUCAAUAUGACUGCAGUAGAUGUGAAAGAUAUUAAUAAAAAUGAUGUUGAUUUAGCCAGCUCACAUACCUGUAUUAACUUUGUUUUCGGUCAAUCCACAAUAGUCGAUUGUCGAGAAAAAAAAUGAGCUUAAUGUUAAAAUUGACCUUUAACUAUAUUCUUAUCUUUUUUUUUUUCCUUGAUUCAUGACAUGUUUUUCAAUUACUACAAACCAACAUAUGGGCCAAAGAAACUAUCCUCUUGUGUGUGAAAAAUUAAGUGUGUAAUUCGUAUUUAAUUUCACUACGAAAGUUACACAUCAGGUUUUAAAACCAUAUUCAGACCUUAUCCAAAUUCUGAUAACGCAAUAAAAGGAAAGUGCUAUACACAAUAGAAAAUUAAACAACAUUUAAUAAUGUAUGACAAACCUUUAUGCUUAUUUUAUACCCCAUUCAUGGAAAGUGCCAAUGCGAAACUUAACACAAUCAGAUUUUCUCAUCCUCUAAAUGUCACGACUGCACAGUAUUUUGAACAAUAUUUUGUUUCUCAUGUGGAAAAAAGGAUGAUGUUAUAAUCAAAAGUGUGAAAUGUAACUUUAAUGCGACAAUAUUGACCAAAUGUUUUGAAUAUUUUUGUGCAAAUGUAUUUUCAGAUCAUCUCUCUCUACCAGCUGAAAUGUUUACAAAUGUAUGUUCAUUGGCGUACCUGUUGUACUAAUCUGUGCAUGUUGGAAGGGAAGGAAGAUUUCUAUAAAAAACACAUGUAGAACUUUUUUUGGCCAGUGUCUUCAUCAAAUACAGCUGCAGAAAGCUGACCUCGUUCAUGCAGCAAUUGUGUUAACGUUAGCAUGUUUGACACCUGCGUAAACCAGAAAAAACAAAUACAACUUUACCCAGGCCAAGAGAAAUCCGCUGACACGUCAACCUCUCGCAAUCAGGUUCGCCCACCUGAACGCUGAGGUCACGGGCUUUAGAGGGACCGCCCGACCUGAAGCCACACAACACAAUACAAGGAAACUUUUCCAGGAAGACAGUAGGAUGUCCUUUUCUGACCUGUAUCUCUUCACCACAAACGUGUUAUGAGCACAUCGGCUUUGGCAGAGAACAACUGAUCAACUGAUCUGUGCAUUAGACGGAGCGUCAGAAGGAUUUCAAGGAGCUGUGAAAAUGAUCUUCAUGGUUGAUCCUGUCCCAUUAGCGAUGGGAAUGUCCCUGAGUCAACCAGUCUCCGGCUUCUCCGUUGUUAAGGAUCGAUGGAUGCUUCCCGCUUUGACAUGUCCCGUGAGUUCGGCACCGUGGCAGAACAGGUCUUGAUCCCAUUUUGCUCAAGUCUUUCCUUGAUCCCAUUUUGCUCAAGUCUUUCCGUACAGGAGUUAUUGGGGAAAGCUGUGUGGAAAAAAAAAAAAA